RNAcentral lists this ribosomal RNA (465 nucleotides) under uncultured Nitrosomonas sp. RNAcentral describes it as "bacterial SSU rRNA". It matches the Rfam family "Bacterial small subunit ribosomal RNA", at positions 338 to 795 of the family's 1533-position model. Lineage: Bacteria; Pseudomonadati; Pseudomonadota; Betaproteobacteria; Nitrosomonadales; Nitrosomonadaceae. The record is from RNAcentral.
CCUACGGGGGGCAGCAGUGGGGAAUUUUGGACAAUGGGGGAAACCCUGAUCCAGCAAUGCCGCGUGAGUGAAGAAGGCCUUCGGGUUGUAAAGCUCUUUCAGUUGAGAAGAAAAGAUUGUGACUAAUAAUCAUAAUUAAUGACGGUAUCAACAGAAGAAGCACCGGCUAACUACGUGCCAGCAGCCGCGGUAAUACGUAGGGUGCGAGCGUUAAUCGGAAUUACUGGGCGUAAAGGGUGCGCAGGCGGUUAUGUAAGUCAGAUGUGAAAUCCCCGGGCUUAACCUGGGAAUUGCGUUUGAAACUACAUGACUAGAGUGUAACAGAGGGAAGUGGAAUUCCAUGUGUAGCAGUGAAAUGCGUAGAGAUAUGGAGGAACAUCGAUGGCGAAGGCAGCUUCCUGGGUUAACACUGACGCUCAUGCACGAAAGCGUGGGGAGCAAACAGGAUUAGAUACCCGGGUAGUC